CUCAGGAGGGUUUCUGGAUGCCAACGAGACCCCAGCCACAGCCGGUCCCCAGAUUCUUGACAUCAUCACAAGAAAGAAUUCACAGGGUUGCUUCAGCGUCCUCACAACAGGAUGGCUGACUUCCCCAAGAGAGCAGCUCAAGAGAGAGCAAGGAGAAAGACACAACAUCUUUAAUGAUCUAUGCUUGGAAGCUAUAUGUUGCCACUUUUGCAAUAUCCUACAGAUCGCUUAGCUCCAUCCAACAUGGAAAGGGAUCAGACACGGGCAUCAUUGCCAGAUGAUAAUCCCUGAUGGUCAUCUUGGAUGCUGGCCACCACAGUUACAUUUGAGGCAGAGGUUAUGGGGUUUUGGGAGGAAGACCUCAGAGGUAAAGUGCCUCUCUCAUCGCAUGUCGAGGGUGCCUACCAUCAACGUGACGGGUCACUGUUAAUGUGGACCUUCAUCACCUGGCUGAGGCUGGGCUUACCAGGUUUCUCCACUGUACGCUCACUCUGCCUCCACCCCUUUCCAUACUGCAUGCACUCUUUGGAAGGAAGACACCGUGUGCUGCCUACACUUAAGGAAUGAGGCAUUAUGUUCCCCCAACUCUUGAGGACAAAGUGUCUGCAUGAAUUAUUUGGAAUAUUCUUCCACAUGGGUGAUUCGCCUUCUGCCAUGAUUGGAAGCUUCCCGAGGCUCUCACCAGGAGCAGAUGCCAGUGCCAUGCUUCCU
RNAcentral lists this long non-coding RNA (711 nucleotides) under Homo sapiens (human). Its description in RNAcentral is "HSALNT0384862". The record is from RNAcentral. Lineage: Eukaryota; Metazoa; Chordata; Mammalia; Primates; Hominidae.